This 1275-nucleotide long non-coding RNA is filed under the name Ananas comosus (pineapple). RNAcentral's name for it is "long non-coding RNA (ACOM_LNC001032)". The record is from RNAcentral. Lineage: Eukaryota; Viridiplantae; Streptophyta; Magnoliopsida; Poales; Bromeliaceae.
ACAUAGACUUGUGAACAUAUUAAGUAUUUUUCUUAAUUAAUAAAGGGCAAGUUUUAUUCAUAUUUAUUAUUAGAAGCACACUACAUUUAUAUAAAUCGUCCAUUGAAUUUUCGUUAAGAAAAUAUAUUCCUAAGAGUUAGGAAUUUGAGAUAUAUAUUUCUUUAUACAAGAUUCUUAAACGCUCCUAGCCAUAGGAAUAUCAUAAGGACGAUGAUAUUUCCGGAUAGGCCGGUGUAUGCUAUACUUCUAAGUUGAGGUGACGAAUCUCAAGUCAUUAGUGUAGGGACACUAAAGUAAGCAUGCAGGUGCUUGUUAGCGAACAAGUACACUGAGCGUGACCAUUUAGUUGAACAGUCAUAUGGUUCCAUAUUCGCUAGUGACUAGUUCUAUGCUACCGUUGUGUGAAGUACUCCUCAGACCUUAGGCAUCAUGGUUGCUUCACAUAUAGAUUACUACUGUUUGACUGUGCUAAUACUUAGACUCUAAUCAUUGGUCUACGUCUGGUACUGAUUGGCUGUAGUAGUUUAUAUGGGGAGGCGUGUGAGUGUGCAAUAAGGAAUUCAACACUCUCAACAAUGAGAGAGAACGUCCUAUGUAGACUAUCGAACUCGACUCGGAAAAUCCUUGGCCAGGGUACGUGGUGUGCGGAAAGAGUUUCCAGCUGUGUUACCAUGUUGAGUCAGUUUUAGAUAUUCUAGUCAUAUGAUCGAAUAAUAAGAUUUGGCGAGUAACCAUAAUCUUAGUUCGAUCGGGGCGUUGUGUGUUGGAAGGAAUUAAUCACACGGUAACGGUUAGCGGAAAGGUUCGUUUUAUCAUCACUAUUUUGGAUUGCCGUGAUAUACUGCUAGGUGUCACUCACGGACAGUGAGAGAAGUAAACAAAUAAUUUAAAUAAAUUGUUUUACAGAUUAGAAGAGUUCUAAUUCAAUAUUGAAGGGUUUGAUAUUGGACCUCACUGCUGAAUAGUAAUGAAACUAUGCGGUUACACACAAUAGGAAUUGUGUGCAUCCAACAUGACAAGAUGAGUACAAUACACUAAACAAUUUAGUGGAAAUAGUGAGAAAUUAUGAUUUGAAUUUGAAUGUUACGAAAGAUUCAAUCUCUAAUUACAUUAGAGAAUAAUUAAAUAUUCAUAAAAUAUUCUAAUUAGAUUAGAUUUAAAUAUGAAUAUUUAGUUAUGAUUUAAUGGAUAAGAUCAAAUUAAAUUGAGAGAUAAGAAUUAAUUCUAUUGGAUAAGCUUCAACUAAUUACUAAAUUGAUCAUUAUCCUUAAAUCA